GAUGAACGCUAGCUACAGGCUUAACACAUGCAAGUCGAGGGGCAGCAUGGUCUUAGCUUGCUAAGGCCGAUGGCGACCGGCGCACGGGUGAGUAACACGUAUCCAACCUGCCGUCUACUCUUGGACAGCCUUCUGAAAGGAAGAUUAAUACAAGAUGGCAUCAUGAGUCCGCAUGUUCACAUGAUUAAAGGUAUUCCGGUAGACGAUGGGGAUGCGUUCCAUUAGGUUGUUGGUGAGGUAACGGCUCACCAAGCCUUCGAUGGAUAGGGGUUCUGAGAGGAAGGUCCCCCACAUUGGAACUGAGACACGGUCCAA
This 315-nucleotide ribosomal RNA is filed under the name uncultured bacterium. Its description in RNAcentral is "bacterial SSU rRNA". It matches the Rfam family "Bacterial small subunit ribosomal RNA", at positions 28 to 334 of the family's 1533-position model. The record is from RNAcentral.